Molecule: small nuclear RNA, 102 nt
Organism: Dromiciops gliroides (monito del monte)
Lineage: Eukaryota; Metazoa; Chordata; Mammalia; Microbiotheria; Microbiotheriidae
Source: RefSeq, a predicted model, not a curated record
AUGGCCACUUCGCGCUCACUUAUACGAAAAUUGGAAUGAUACAGAGAAGAUUGACCCCUGCACAAGGAUGACAUGCAAAUUCGUGAAGCAUCAGUGUCCACU